RNAcentral lists this ribosomal RNA (253 nucleotides) under uncultured bacterium. RNAcentral describes it as "partial 16S ribosomal RNA". It matches the Rfam family "Bacterial small subunit ribosomal RNA", at positions 524 to 776 of the family's 1533-position model. The record is from RNAcentral.
UACGAAAGGGGCUAGCGUUGCUCGGAAUCACUGGGCGUAAAGGGUGCGUAGGCGGGUUUUUAAGUCAGGGGUGAAAUCCUGGAGCUCAACUCCGAAAUGGCAUUGGAAACUACCUUGCUCGAGGGUUGGAGGGGGGACUGGAAUUCUCGGUGUAGCAGUGAAAUGCGUAGAUAUCGAGAGGAACACCAGUGGCGAAGGCGAGUCCCUGGACAACUCCUGACACUGAGGCACGAAAGCUAGGGGAGCAAACAGG